Xiphophorus couchianus (Monterrey platyfish) is the source of this 2092-nucleotide long non-coding RNA. RefSeq lists it as uncharacterized. Lineage: Eukaryota; Metazoa; Chordata; Actinopteri; Cyprinodontiformes; Poeciliidae. The transcript has 2 exons. The record is from RefSeq and is a predicted model, not a curated record.
AGACCUGGGUCUUGAUUUGAAGAUCUGGUUGUUCAGUGGCACAAAAAGUGGGUAUGCACUGUAUGCAAUGCAUAGGGGCGCUGCACUAGAAGGGACGCCAAAACGAUGUGGGGAAAUGUUUUCUAGUCGCCAUUUUCUGUAUUUAACAGCAUUAAAUGGGCUGUUCUAGAGGCUGUGGAAGUGGCUCUUUGGCUCACUUAUAUAUUAAAUGAUAAAAUAUUGGCCUAUUUUUUGUUUCAUUCCUUUUUAAUUGCUUUCAAGGAUGCGAUUUAUUCACACAUCAGGAAGGAACAAAAACAUUAGGGAGGCAACGUAACAUACAAUAAUUAUUAAUUACUGUAUUUUUUAAGUGCAUGAAUAAGGGAGAGCUGUACGGACAUAUUAAACCUAUGGAGGAGGAAGGUGGAGGGGGGGCAUGACAUGUUCACAUACACCUCAGAUAGUAUGCAGUUGCGCCCCUGGUUGUGUUGAAGGUUUAUCAGCACCAACUCAAGCCGAAAUAAGAAAAGCAAUUUUUUCUCGGUCACGCUCUCAAAAUAAAGUCCAAAUUUACGUACAAAGCGAGUUAAUUUAUUGCAUAGAGCCUUUCAAACAAUAUCUACAGCAAAUUGCAGGGAGAGAAAAUAAACAUUAAAUGCAUGCAGUGUUUAGCAGAAAUAGUUAUUGUGAUAUUAUCAAUAUCACAAUAACUAAUAUCUAUUGGCUGUGAGCACAAACAACAGUUCAUUCACCUGUCAAAUACAUGACCAGAUAAGACAGAAGUUUAAUAUAGCGGAUGUUUGAUAUUCAUAGCGGUUAGGUGCUACAGCCAUCAUCUUCUACCUCAUCUAGGGUCAAAUAGUGGCACUAUUUUUAUGCUACAUUUUGGCCUGAUUUCCCCCUUAUGACAAUCUUAAGGAUGACCGUACAACUCUUAAGAUAAUCUUAAGCAAUAUUCCUGCUUUGUGUUGUGUGCUAAGAAUUAUGUGGUCCACUUGGAAGGACUGAGGGACCACUCCGAUCUAAAAUCAGGGAUACUGGACAUGGUGGAUUGUCUUGUCUGAUUUUUCAGUUUGUCUUUGAGGACAAACAUGAAUGCAGCCCCUUGUAUGUGACGUAACUGGUGAGAGGAACCUAAAUACACAUAAGACAAAACAACUGCUAUGGCACACCAGAAAAUCUGGUGGACAUUUUGGAUGUGUUUAUAUUUUUUGAUUAUAGUCCACAUACUAUCGCCAUUUCUUCUUCUCAGUUGAUCAUGCUUGUUUACUCUGGACUCCGUUUGAUUGCUUAAGUUUGGCAAGAUUUUCAGUGUUGCAUCUGAAUGUUGGAGAGUGAAAUCGGUUUGUGUGUAGUCUGUUGCUCCUGCGAUGUGGCUGUACACCACACACACUGUAUGACCAAAGCAUUUAUGCAUCAGACUUUUUAAUAACCAUGUGUGUGGUCCCAGAUUUUGAAAGUCGGUUGACAAUUUUAAAAUCUUGAAGUGAACCAGGCAUUAGCAGAGAAUGCCAGUCUUCCCUCUCCCCGGCAACUUGAGAGGGAAUCCCAAGGUCAAAGUCUUCCAGCAUGUCUUGGGUCUUUCCCUUGAAUAUCCUCCCCAGAAUACCUCAGUAGUGAGGAGAUGUCUAGUGCACCAUGCACUAGACAUGGAUUAUCCCUCAAGUUGCUGGGGAGAGGGAAGACUGGCAUUCUCUGCUAAUGCCUGGUUCACUUCAAGAUUUUAAAAUUGUAAACAUAUCAAAAUAUACCAGGUGUAAAACUAAUAACCGACUGAGCUGACUUGUCUGCAGGAGCUGCUAUCCCAGUGUCUGGAGGAGCUCAAAACAGAGAGCCAAGACGGACGCGCACAUCCAGUCUCUUAAGAAACGCAAAGCAGAUCUCUCACGGACCACAGAGGUAAUGAGACAUCAGGUACAGGACCACUUCAAAAACAUGCUGUGUGUCCUAAAGCAGGAUGAGAAGGCUCUAGUCGACACUCUGGAUAUGGAGCUGAAACGGACCAGAACCAGGCUGGACCAGAUACUGAAGAACUGGGUGAACCAUCAGGAGCAAGUCACAAAGAGCAUUAGCAUCAUCCUGAGUGUGCUGAAUAAGACCCUCACACCAAAGG